Molecule: RNA transcript, 1216 nt
Organism: Athalia rosae (coleseed sawfly)
Lineage: Eukaryota; Metazoa; Arthropoda; Insecta; Hymenoptera; Athaliidae
Gene: Mettl5
Gene name: rRNA N6-adenosine-methyltransferase METTL5
Exons: 5
Source: RefSeq, a predicted model, not a curated record
UACAAAACGCUCACGCUGCAUCUGCUGGAUUUUUUGUCACACAAGACUCGUCUUUUGGUAAUCUCAUACUCCCGGUUCUACCUCGGUUUGAAGCCAAGUGACUGGAAUUCAACGGAAUUGGAAAAUCAACACCUAGGGAUGGCUUGUAUGCGUCUCAGAGAACUGGAAGAGUGCCUUCAGGAGUUGGAUGUUUUUGAAAAUCCCAAAAUACUUCUUGAGCAAUAUGCCACAAGUGCCCACAUAGGGGCUCACAUUUUGCAUACUGCACAGACACACUUUGAUGACAUAGAAGGAAAGGCUGUGGCUGACUUAGGAGCAGGGUGUGGGGUGCUUUCGGUUGGGGCUCGACUACUGGGAGCUGACCAUGUCAUCGGAUUUGAAAUUGACCCUGACGCAUUGUCUAUACUACGCCGAAACUGCCUUGAAUUGGAGUCUGACAUUGAAUCCAUACAAUGCGAUAUACUUACCUACUUGCCUGGUAGAUUUGAGAAAUACUUUGACACAGUUGUUACGAAUCCACCAUUUGGUACAAAACGAAACGCGGGAAUGGAUAUGAAAUUCUUGGAGAUAGCAGUCAAAGUGGCUCGCAAUGCAGUAUACUCUCUCCAUAAGACUAGUACCCGAGAUCACGUUCUCAGGACAGCUAAAAAACUCGGAGCUAAACCUACCGUUGUUGCAGAAUUGAGAUAUGAUCUACCUAGAGCGUACAAAUUUCAUAAAAGUGCUUCUGUGGACGUUCAAGUCGAUCUGGUCAGACUGCAACUUGAGCAGUCGUAGAAUACUGCUUCUCUCAAAUGUGAUGGGAUUCAGGAUCGAUUCAAUUACCAAUCACAGGAUAGUCACCGUCUGUCUUCAACAAGCACGGUCCCAAUAUCUGCAUCGCCAGUUAUGAGUGAAGCCACAGAACCAGGAAUUCCAUUACGUUCUAAUACUCUAGCAACAAUCUUAGUAGUUGCAAUGGAAACUAAUGGUGUUGUAGGAGCCCCCUUCCACACAAUGGUGUUUCCACAUACCAUGGCUAUUGCGCUGUUCCAUCCAUAAACCUUCGAGUCAUUAGGGCAAGAAACUUCCGGGAAGUGUCCUUGACAAGCCGACAGCAUAAUCACAGAUGUCAACGUAUUCCUGAACCUCACCAAUGCCUUCGGCCAAAAUUUUACCUGAUGGAAGAAACGUAAGCUUGUACUAAGUCGUAUACAAUAAUUGAGAUUCAAUGCUA